Molecule: long non-coding RNA, 695 nt
Filed under: Phascolarctos cinereus (koala)
Lineage: Eukaryota; Metazoa; Chordata; Mammalia; Diprotodontia; Phascolarctidae
Description: lncRNA (ENSPCIG00000034089.1)
Source: RNAcentral
AUGAAAGUUUCAAAAUGGAAGUUAGGAAUUCUUUGUUUUAUAAGUGGAUGUGUAAUGUCUGGUCAGGUGGAUGCUUGUAUUCCUGAUAGAGUUCCAAUGGGACUCUUAAUCACAGAUUGCCCUUAUCCACAACUGAAAACUCUUGAGAUGCAGAGGACUCUUGCCCUAAAAAUCAUUCUUUCCUUUUCUUUUUUUCUACCCACAGAAGCCCCAAGACAGCAACCUGCUGAACCUGAACCAGCCCCAAGGCAACAAACUAGGAAAAGUAAAGACGCAGAAGAGCCAGGCGACCCACCUGAAGGAGAACCAGGCGAACCACCUGAAGGAGAACCAGGUCCACCACCUGAAGGAAGGAGCCAUCUCAGACCUAGCCACAAGCCUACUCACGCCAAUAUCUUCAAGGAGAGAAGAGAAGAAGAAAUAGGUAGUUUGGAAAGAUAUUUCUAUUGUUUACAGAUGUGCUGAGAUCAGGAUGAACAUAAUAACAUCUAAUUUUUCCACCCAUUUUAUAUUUCGGUCCUUCAUUACUCUCAUAUCUUCUACUUACACUUAUGAAAGCUUUGAAAUGUAUGGAUGAUUUUGUGAGUGAAUAUGAACCUCUGGCCAAGUGGGAUACUUGUAUUCUUCAAGUAAUUCUGCUGGGUCCUUCAAUCACAUAUUACUUUAUCCACCUCUGAAACCUCUUGAGAUUCAGA